RNAcentral lists this long non-coding RNA (609 nucleotides) under Struthio camelus australis. RNAcentral describes it as "lncRNA (ENSSCUG00000009961.1)". Lineage: Eukaryota; Metazoa; Chordata; Aves; Struthioniformes; Struthionidae. The record is from RNAcentral.
GUUUAUUUUCUCAUCCCUAGUGGCAAUGACUCAGGACCAAGUCAUCCCUUUUUUUACAGGAAUUACCUAUGAAGGAAACUGGAAACUCUGUGAUGUCUCUCUGGCGUCUUUCCCUCCAGCUGGUGCCUCUGAACCUCUUCUGAAGGGGCCUGUGCAGAGCAGAGCUUGGCAACAAGAAAUUUUCACGGGUCCAGACAAUGAACAUACUAUCAAUAAGUCAGAGGCAGAAAUACUAUCACUAAAACCAUGGAAGAAGUCCUGGAAUCUCGGUUCAGACUGUGAUGGCAACAGUGAGGGCUGCAGGCAGGUGAUGAGGUGCUGCUGGGGCCCAGGCCUGAGGAAAGAAACUACCUAGAAACAGCAAUACUUGACCUGAAAAUAAGGAUCCCAUUUGAACUCCAGCAUAAGCCUCUUCAGAACUCCACGCUUGGACUGAAUAUGUUCCUGGAGGAGUAGAGCACAGUUUCAUUAUUCCAGCAGAGUUGCACCCGCUUGCCUCAAGAGUUAAUUUGGCAGCUUCACUGCAAGGGACCGACUCAGAAGGUACAAAGUGUAUUACAGCUGAAAUGUUAUUAAAGUCUGUGCCUCCUUAGAAAUCCUUUCACAGCU